This is a long non-coding RNA of Tigriopus californicus, 1086 nucleotides long. RefSeq lists it as uncharacterized. The record is from RefSeq and is a predicted model, not a curated record. Lineage: Eukaryota; Metazoa; Arthropoda; Copepoda; Harpacticoida; Harpacticidae. The transcript has 2 exons.
AAGAGCAAUCAAGGGCAAAAUGUUGAUUGGCUCAUUCACUCGUGAAGACACCAAAAUUGUUUUCAGUUGUCCCAACAAAUCCAGAUGCAUAUAAACCUUAGCUUUGAAGACCUACGGAGAGUAAAAGCAAGAACACCAUAUCCUGUUAGCGAUACUCGGAAACAAAAAUGUGAUUGGUUAUCUUCAAAUUUGGGAUUAUUGGACAGCAAAAAUAUAAACAAAUAUUUUGUAUGUAAGUACAAACACGUACCUUGCUCUCCACCUUCUCCGGCAUCUUGAAAGGUUUCAAGAGCGCGCUUUCCUAAGGAUCCGGAGAAACCAGAAUUCCAUUCUCGUUUACCCAUUCCUCCCGCAAAUCCAGAAUUCCAAGCCCUUUUUCCCAAUCCACCGGCGAAUCCAGAAUUCCAUGCCCUUUUGUUAAAGUCAAUAAUUGAGGAUUUGUCGUCAAUGGAUAAGGGAGAAUAUCGCUUUCCAAUGCCACCCACAAAUCCGGAGUUCCACGCUCUCUUCCCCAUGCCUCCUUGAAAUCCAGAGUUCCAAGCACGUUUGCCCAUUCCUCCAGCGAAGCCACUGUUCCAAGCUCGCUUUCCAUAGUUUGAUCCAAGUUCAUGAGCCAAAAUAUCGUUGCUGAGCUCAUGGCUUCCGUCUAAUCCCUUCAAUUUGAUCAUGACAAUGACUCAUUGGACGAAGUGAUUGGACGAAGUGAUGGAGUUUUAUAUUUACCGCAGCCCGUUUCGCCGAUCCACCGUUGAAGUUAUUCCAUCCACGUUUCCCAUAUCCGGCAUUGAAAUUGUUCCAACCUCUUUUGGCUAAUUCAAUCUCAUCUAUGAAUAGUUGAAUUUUAAACCAUGUAAAUUAGUUUGAUUUAAAGCUCUACAUUUGAUUGGUUAGUUUCAUAAUUUACCUUGAAUUUCAUUAUCGCCCAAUGAAAUAUCCAUUGGGAAGGAGCCAUAAAUUUCAUUGUUUGGGAUAUAACCACUUGAAUCCACGGUAAUACUCUCGAGAAAUAGUAUUAAUAUCACGAAGACUACACGACUUGUGGUCAAAAUGGCAUGGUCAUCUUUGAGCAUGGCCAAUCUUAGAAGC